UGACGGUACCAGAGGAAUCAGCAUCGGCUAACUCCGUGCCAGCAGCCGCGGUAAGACGGAGGAUGCAAGCGUUAUCCGGAAUGAUUGGGCGUGAAGCGUCCGCAGGUGGCAGUUCAAGUCUGCUGUCAAAGACCGGGGCUCAACCUCGGAAGGGCAGUGGAAACUGAACAGCUAGAGUAUGGUAGGGGCAAAGGGAAUUCCUGGUGUAGCGGUGAAAUGCGUAGAGAUCAGGAAGAACAUCGGUGGCGAAGGCGCUUUGCUGGACGAUAACUGACACUCAGGGACGAAAGCUAGGGGAGCGAAUGGGAUUAGAUACCCCAGUAGUCCUAGCCGUAAACGAUGGAUACUAGGUGUUGUCUGUAUCGACCCGGACAGUGCCGUAGCUAACGCGUUAAGUAUCCCGCCUGGGGAGUACGCACGCAAGUGUGAAACUCAAAGGAAUUGACGGGGGCCCGCACAAGCGGUGGAGUAUGUGGUUUAAUUCGAUGCAACGCGAAGAACCUUACCAGGACUUGACAUGUCGCAAAUCCUCCUGAAAGGGAGGAGUGCCUUCGGGAGCGCGAACACAGGUGGUGCAUGGCUCUCGUCAGCUCGUGUCGUGAGAUGUUGGGUUAAGUCCCGCAACGAGCGCAACCCUCGUGUUUAGUUGCCAUCAUUAAGUUGGGCACUCUAAACAGACUGCCGGUGACAAACCGGAGGAAGGUGGGGAUGACGUCAAGUCAGCAUGCCCCUUACGUCCUGGGCGACACACGUACUACAAUGGUGGGGACAGAGGGCAGCCAACCCGCGAGGGCGAGCUAAUCCCGCAAACCCUGCCUCAGUUCAGAUUGCAGGCUGCAACUCGCCUGCAUGAAGGCGGAAUCGCUAGUAAUCGCAGGUCAGCAUACUGCGGUGAAUCCGU
Molecule: unclassified non-coding RNA, 901 nt
Filed under: uncultured cyanobacterium
Lineage: Bacteria; Bacillati; Cyanobacteriota
Description: bacterial SSU rRNA
Rfam family: Bacterial small subunit ribosomal RNA
Source: RNAcentral